Molecule: vault RNA, 106 nt
Filed under: Neogobius melanostomus (round goby)
Lineage: Eukaryota; Metazoa; Chordata; Actinopteri; Gobiiformes; Gobiidae
Description: Vault RNA (ENSNMLG00000020159.1)
Rfam family: Vault RNA
About the family: This family of RNAs are found as part of the enigmatic vault ribonucleoprotein complex. The complex consists of a major vault protein (MVP), two minor vault proteins (VPARP and TEP1), and several small untranslated RNA molecules.
Source: Rfam by way of RNAcentral
GUGCUGGUGUAGCUCAGUGGUUACUUCGAUUGCACUUCUCUCCUGCAGAGAUCGCCAACCUCUAUCCCUUUGUGGAAUCGAACCUCGGGCGCUGUCCAGUGCUUUU